This 440-nucleotide ribosomal RNA is filed under the name uncultured bacterium. Its description in RNAcentral is "partial 16S ribosomal RNA". It matches the Rfam family "Bacterial small subunit ribosomal RNA", at positions 338 to 795 of the family's 1533-position model. The record is from RNAcentral.
CCUACGGGCGGCAGCAGUGGGGGAUAUUGCACAAUGGGGGAAACCCUGAUGCAGCGACGCCGCGUGUGGGAAGACGGUCUUCUGGAUUGUAAACCACUGUCCCCAGGGACGAAAAUGACGGUACCUGGGGAGGAAGCUCCGGCUAACUACGUGCCAGCAGCCGCGGUAAUACGUAGGGAGCAAGCGUUGUCCGGAAUUACUGGGUGUAAAGGGAGCGUAGGCGGGGAUGCAAGUUGGGUGUCAAAACUACCGGCUCAACCGAUAGUCGCACUCAAAACUGCAACUCUUGAGUGAAGUAGAGGCAGGCGGAAUUCCUAGUGUAGCGGUGAAAUGCGUAGAUAUUAGGAGGAACACCAGUGGCGAAGGCGGCCUGCUGGGCUUUUACUGACGCUGAGGCUCGAAAGUGUGGGGAGCAAACAGGAUUAGAUACCCCUGGUGUC